Molecule: small nuclear RNA, 106 nt
Organism: Saimiri boliviensis boliviensis (Bolivian squirrel monkey)
Lineage: Eukaryota; Metazoa; Chordata; Mammalia; Primates; Cebidae
Source: RefSeq, a predicted model, not a curated record
GUGCUCACUUCAGCAGCACAUAUGCUAAGAUUGGAACAAUGCAGAGAAGAUUAGCAUGCCCCUGCACAAAGAUGAUAUGCACAUUCAUGAAGCAUUAUAAAAUAAU